RNAcentral lists this ribosomal RNA (492 nucleotides) under uncultured bacterium. Its description in RNAcentral is "partial 16S ribosomal RNA". It matches the Rfam family "Bacterial small subunit ribosomal RNA", at positions 29 to 507 of the family's 1533-position model. The record is from RNAcentral.
AGUGAACGCUGGCGGUAGGCCUAACACAUGCAAGUCGAACGGCAGCACAGUAAGAGCUUGCUCUUACGGGUGGCGAGUGGCGGACGGGUGAGGAAUACAUCGGAAUCUACUUUUUCGUGGGGGAUAACGUAGGGAAACUUUCGCUAAUACCGCAUACGACCUACGGGUGAAAGCAGGUGAUCUUCGGACCUUGCGCGAUUGAAUGAGCCGAUGUCGGAUUAGCUAGUUGGCGGGGUAAAGGCCCACCAAGGCGACGAUCCGUAGCUGGUCUGAGAGGAUGAUCAGCCACACUGGAACUGAGACACGGUCCAGACUCCUACGGGAGGCAGCAGUGGGGAAUAUUGGACAAUGGGCGCAAGCCUGAUCCAGCCAUACCGCGUGAGUGAAGAAGGCCUUCGGGUUGUAAAGCCCUUUUGUUGGGAAAGAAAAGCAGCAGGUUAAUACCCCGCUGUUCUGACGGUACCCAAAGAAUAAGCACCGGCUAACUUCGUG